This 393-nucleotide ribosomal RNA is filed under the name uncultured bacterium. Its description in RNAcentral is "partial 16S ribosomal RNA". It matches the Rfam family "Bacterial small subunit ribosomal RNA", at positions 523 to 918 of the family's 1533-position model. The record is from RNAcentral.
AUACGGAGGAUGCGAGCGUUAUCCGGAUUUAUUGGGUUUAAAGGGAGCGUAGGUGGGAUAUUAAGUCAGCUGUGAAAGUUUGGGGCUCAACCUUAAAAUUGCAGUUGAUACUGGUUUCCUUGAGUACGGUACAGGUGGGCGGAAUUCGUGGUGUAGCGGUGAAAUGCUUAGAUAUCACGAAGAACUCCGAUCGCGAAGGCAGCUCACCGGGCCGGAACUGACACUGAUGCUCGAAAGUGCGGGUAUCAAACAGGAUUAGAUACCCUGGUAGUCCGCACAGUAAACGAUGAAUACUCGCUGUUUGCGAUACACUGUAAGCGGCCAAGCGAAAGCGUUAAGUAUUCCACCUGGGGAGUACGUCGGCAACGGUGAAACUCAAAUGAAUUGACGGGG